Mustela lutreola (European mink) is the source of this 462-nucleotide long non-coding RNA. RefSeq lists it as uncharacterized. The transcript is spliced from 3 exons. The record is from RefSeq and is a predicted model, not a curated record. NCBI's taxonomy places the organism in Eukaryota, Metazoa, Chordata, Mammalia, Carnivora, Mustelidae.
UGUGUGCACAGGUGCCAACCGGGACAUACGCCAGGUGGGAAGCUGAAUGAAAUCGCCACGGGCCGGGCAGUAAAUGACUGGAGGACUAUCAGAGUACUCUUACCGGACGUCAAGUGCCAUCCUGGACUGCGAAAGAUGACAAAAGAGAGGGUGAAGCUUUUCACUUGCUAACAUCGCUAUGGUGACGCAGAAGUGCUGCCAGCCCCACGGAGGAGGUCCAGUUCUCACGGAGGAGAUCUGGGUUUGCUCUUAUCAGCCAUUGGAAGGCACCACCAACCCAAGACGACUUUGAGUUAAAUUCUCUGCUUGAGGGAUGCCCGGGUGGCUCAGUUCGUUAAGUGGCUGCCUUCGGCUCAGGUCAUGAUCCCAGCGUCCUGUGAUGGAGUCCCACAUCGGGCUCCUUGUUCCAUAGGGAGCCUGCUUCUCCCUCUGCCACUCUGUCUGCCUGUGUGCACUCUCUCU